Molecule: ribosomal RNA, 522 nt
Filed under: uncultured bacterium
Lineage: Bacteria
Description: bacterial SSU rRNA
Rfam family: Bacterial small subunit ribosomal RNA
Source: RNAcentral
UAGGGAAUCUUCCGCAAUGGACGAAAGUCUGACGGAGCAACGCCGCGUGAGUGAUGAAGGUCUUCGGAUCGUAAAACUCUGUUAUCAGGGAAGAACAAGUAUCGGAGUAACUGCCGGUACCUUGACGGUACCUGACCAGAAAGCCACGGCUAACUACGUGCCAGCAGCCGCGGUAAUACGUAGGUGGCAAGCGUUGUCCGGAAUUAUUGGGCGUAAAGCGCGCGCAGGGCGGUCCUUUAAGUCUGAUGUGAAAUCCCGUGGCUUAACCACGGGCGGUCAUUGGAAACUGGGGGACUUGAGUGCAGAAGAGAAGAGCGGAAUUCCACGUGUAGCGGUGAAAUGCGUAGAGAUGUGGAGGAACACCAGUGGCGAAGGCGGCUCUUUGGUCUGUAACUGACGCUGAGGCGCGAAAGCGUGGGGAGCGAACAGGAUUAGAUACCCUGGUAGUCCACGCCGUAAACGAUGAGUACUAAGUGUUAGAGGGUUUCCGCCCUUUAGUGCUGCAGUUAACGCAUUAAGCAC